Molecule: long non-coding RNA, 280 nt
Organism: Pantherophis guttatus
Lineage: Eukaryota; Metazoa; Chordata; Lepidosauria; Squamata; Colubridae
Source: RefSeq, a predicted model, not a curated record
CAGAGAAGGAAUUAGUCCGAAGAACGCACGUACUGUAUGCAGACAGGAAAAAUAAUGGAUGUGAAAUCAUCUCCAUCAAACUGCGGCGAAAUGGAAGGAGAAUGGAAGUUGGGGAAAGGAAUGACCCCGGUGAACGUGAGAAGGAGUUGGCGCUGAGCCUUCUUCGUCCUCCGGAUCUUUGAUCAAGUUGCCCGCAGGGCGAAGAAAACUUUCAAGCACAAUUCCAAGAAGAAGAAGAAGAAAAAUAAAAUAAAAUAAAAUAAAAAUCCCCUUACACAAC